RNAcentral lists this long non-coding RNA (1131 nucleotides) under Nicotiana benthamiana. RNAcentral's name for it is "long non-coding RNA (NBEN_LNC008898)". The record is from RNAcentral. Lineage: Eukaryota; Viridiplantae; Streptophyta; Magnoliopsida; Solanales; Solanaceae.
CGUCAAAACGACACAAUCCAAACAAGCUGUAAAAUAGCUGAUAUUUCCGACAAUCCUCGAGGCAUCCGCUAAAAGAAGAACAGAACAUCCAUAGCUUUCGCAUUUUAUUGUCAUUUCUAAAGGGCAGAGUCUUUUCUAGAUCUGCCCCUCUUUCUCGCUCUCUCCUGAUUCGUUGUUCAUCACUGUAAGAUCUCUCUUCUCCAAUUCAUUGAUUUUCAUCACACACACACAUCGUUCGGUUGCUAACAAUUGAUAUGAUAAAGUUUGUUUAUUUGUGUAUCUAUUUUGUUGAUCGAGAAGUUUAUGGAAUUUAAGAUCUGGAUUUAGGCCGUUUGGAUCUGGGGUUUUAAUAAGGUUUUCAUCUUUAUUUGAUAUUCAUGUGCAUUCUUCGUAUUUCUAUUGAUUUGAUCUGGUUAUGCUUUCUGUAUUAUGUCAAUUUUUGGAUGUGGAUUUUUGUUCUUUUUUGUUAAUGGAUCUGGAUUUUGGUUAGUUAUGUCAAUGUUCAAGGAUUUGUUCUUUUUUGUUAAUGGAUCUGGUUUUUGGUUAGUUAUGUCAAUGUUCAAGGAUCAGAUUUACAUACACGGGUCCUUGAUUCAAUUGAUUAUUAAACUUAUUGAUAUGGAUCUCUAGAUAAAUAAAGGAACAUUGAAAUUUAAGAUGAUUUAAAAAAAAGGAUCCAAAAGUUGCUUUUUUUAUCACCAUAUUAUAUUUGGGAUUUCUGUUGGCUUGAAAGAAAUUUAAGAUGAUUUUCUUAAACAAAAAAAGAGGAACCAGAAGUUGCUUAUUUGAUCACCAUAUUGUAAUUGAGAUUUUUGUUGGCUUGAAAUCUUAGCUCUGGUUCUCAUUUUCCAAUGCUUGUGCUUUUUUGAAACCUGUCGAUACAAUAAAAUCCAUUGGUGUAAGUUUGACGGUGAAUUUAGAUGUGUGGUGAUCUGAGUUUUUAUUUUUGGUCCAACAGGCAUUGAGAAAAGAUGGGUUUAUCAUUUGGGAAGCUUUUUAGUCGGCUGUUUGCCAAGAAGGAGAUGCGUAUUCUGAUGGUCGGUCUUGAUGCAGCUGGUAAAACCACCAUAUUGUACAAGCUCAAGCUGGGAGAGAUUGUUACCACUAUCCCUACCAUUGGUAAGUUAUGUU